This 305-nucleotide ribosomal RNA is filed under the name uncultured bacterium. RNAcentral's name for it is "partial 16S ribosomal RNA". It matches the Rfam family "Bacterial small subunit ribosomal RNA", at positions 508 to 807 of the family's 1533-position model. The record is from RNAcentral.
ACAGCAGUCGCCGCGGUAAUACGGAGGGGGCUAGCGUUGUUCGGAAUUACUGGGCGUAAAGCGCACGUAGGCGGCUUGGUAAGUUAGAGGUGAAAGCCCAGGGCUCAACCCUGGAAUUGCCUUUAAGACUGCCGAGCUAAUAGGUGAGAGAGGUAAGUGGAAUUCCGAGUGUAGAGGUGAAAUUCGUAGAUAUUCGGAAGAACACCAGUGGCGAAGGCGGCUUACUGGUUCAUUCUAGACGCUGAGGUGCGAAAGCGUGGGGAGCAAACAGGAUUAGAUACCCGUGUAGUCCCUGUCUCUUAUAC